Molecule: ribosomal RNA, 242 nt
Filed under: uncultured bacterium
Lineage: Bacteria
Description: partial 16S ribosomal RNA
Rfam family: Bacterial small subunit ribosomal RNA
Source: RNAcentral
CACCUUUGACAUGUACGGAAGUUACCAGAGAUGGUUUCGUGCUCGAAAGAGAACCGUAACACAGGUGCUGCAUGGCUGUCGUCAGCUCGUGUCGUGAGAUGUUGGGUUAAGUCCCGCAACGAGCGCAACCCUUGUCAUUAGUUGCUACAUUUAGUUGGGCACUCUAAUGAGACUGCCGGUGACAAACCGGAGGAAGGUGGGGAUGACGUCAAGUCCUCAUGGCCCUUAUAGGUGGGGCUACA